RNAcentral lists this ribosomal RNA (456 nucleotides) under Triticum aestivum (bread wheat). RNAcentral describes it as "partial small subunit ribosomal RNA". The record is from RNAcentral. Lineage: Eukaryota; Viridiplantae; Streptophyta; Magnoliopsida; Poales; Poaceae.
AUGGGCGCCUUGGAUCACCUCUCUGAUUUGUGCAGCAUGACGGAGACAAAGGAAGCCCUCAAGCUCAGGAAGAAGCGCCCACUGCAGACGGUGAACAUCAAGGUGAAGAUGGACUGCGAGGGCUGCGAGAGGAGGGUCAAGAACGCCGUCAAAUCGAUUCGGGGUGUGACGAGUGUGGCCGUGAACCCCAAGAUGAGCAAGAUGACGGUGACGGGGCACGUGGAGCCGCGCAAGGUGCUGGAGCGGGUGAAGAGCACGGGGAAGGCGGCGGAGAUGUGGCCGUACGUGCCCUACACGCUCGCCACCUACCCCUACGUCGGCGGCGCCUACGACAAGAAGGCACCGGCGGGCUUCGUCCGCAGCGCACCGCAGGCCAUGGCCGACCCCGCGGCGCCUGAGAUCCACUACAUGAACAUGUUCAACGACGAGGACGUCAACGCCUGCACCGUCAUGUGA